This 451-nucleotide ribosomal RNA is filed under the name uncultured bacterium. RNAcentral describes it as "bacterial SSU rRNA". It matches the Rfam family "Bacterial small subunit ribosomal RNA", at positions 29 to 524 of the family's 1533-position model. The record is from RNAcentral.
AGCGAACGCUGGCGGCAGGCUUAACACAUGCAAGUCGAACGGGCGUAGCAAUACGUCAGUGGCAGACGGGUGAGUAACGCGUGGGAACGUACCUUUUGGUUCGGAACAACCCAGGGAAACUUGGGCUAAUACCGGAUAAGCCCUUACGGGGAAAGAUUUAUCGCCGAAAGAUCGGCCCGCGUCUGAUUAGCUAGUUGGUGUGGUAACGGCGCACCAAGGCGACGAUCAGUAGCUGGUCUGAGAGGAUGAUCAGCCACAUUGGGACUGAGACACGGCCCAAACUCCUACGGGAGGCAGCAGUGGGGAAUAUUGGACAAUGGGCGCAAGCCUGAUCCAGCCAUGCCGCGUGGAUGAUGAAGGCCCUAGGGUUGUAAAGUCCUUUUAACGGGAAGAUAAUGACGGUACCCGUAGAAUAAGCCCCGGCUAACUUCGUGCCAGCAGCAGCCGCAGU